This 332-nucleotide ribosomal RNA is filed under the name uncultured bacterium. RNAcentral describes it as "bacterial SSU rRNA". It matches the Rfam family "Bacterial small subunit ribosomal RNA", at positions 568 to 897 of the family's 1533-position model. The record is from RNAcentral.
CGUGUAGGCGGUCGGUUAAGUCUGAUGUGAAAGCCCGAGGCUCAGCUUCGGAAGUGCAUCGGAAACUAGCUGGCUGGAGCGCGAUAGAGGAGGGUGGAAUUCCUGGUGUAGCGGUGAAAUGCGUAGAUAUCAGGAGGAACACCGGCGGCGAAGGCGGCCCUCUGGAUCGUUGCUGACGCUGAGACGCGAAAGCGUGGGGAGCAAACAGGAUUAGAUACCCUGGUAGUCCACGCUGUAAACUAUGGGUACUAGGUGUUCGGGGUAUUGGACCCCCUGAGUGCCGCAGUUAACGGCAUUAAGUACCCGCCUGGGGACUACGGCCGCAAGGUUAA